UACGGAGGGUGCGAGCGUUGUUCGGAAUCACUGGGCGUAAAGGGCGUGUAGGCGGUCCGCUAAGUCUGAUGUGAAAGCCCGGGGCUCACCCCCGGAAGUGCAUUGGAAACUGGCGGACUCGAGUCCCGGAGAGGAGAGUGGAAUUCCUGGUGUAGCGGUGAAAUGCGUAGAUAUCAGGAGGAACACCGGUGGCGAAGGCGGCUCUCUGGGCAGUAACUGACGCUGAGGAGCGAAAGCGUGGGGAGCGAACAGG
This 253-nucleotide ribosomal RNA is filed under the name uncultured bacterium. RNAcentral describes it as "partial 16S ribosomal RNA". It matches the Rfam family "Bacterial small subunit ribosomal RNA", at positions 524 to 776 of the family's 1533-position model. The record is from RNAcentral.